AAAAAAGAUUUACCUAAUCAAACUUUUGAUGAGGAAAUAUAUUGACUAAAUAAUUAGAGUAAAAAAGCAAUACCCUUUUUUACUUAUACUUACUUAACUUCUAAUUAUUUUAUUUAUAUUAUUUCACUCAAAUAAUUUUAAAAUUUACUAAAUCUAAUAAUAAUUCGGUCAAUGAUUUAAUUUUUUAAUAUUUAGUAAAUACAAUUGUGACAAUUGAUGACUAUUAGUUGACAGAGCUAUUAAAGUUAAUAUAAUUCACUACAACAAAAACGGUCUAUAGCGACAUUUUUAAAUGUAGGUACAUGUCAAAAAAGUGCUGCUAGCUAAAAUUACCGACACUUUUAAAAAGUGUUGCUAUAUAUGGGGUCGCUAGGUAUAUAGUGACAGUUAAAGAGUGUCGCUAUAACCUAAAAGAGUGCUGCUAAUUUACCAACACUUAUUUAACCAUUUAACAACCGCCGAAACUCUAUUUCGUUGGCUGCGGUGGCGGAGGAGGACGACAGGAAAUGCUCUUCGUCUAGAAUUUCAGUAGAUUGAGUGAAGAGAGAAGAAAAGAUGGUAAUUGAUUUUUUUUUUUUUCUUUUCUGUUUGUAAUCGGGCCAAAUGGACUGGAUGUGGUGGGUUGAGUAGAGUAAUAUUUUAUUUUUGGUUGGAUUGGACUUUAUAUUUAGGCAUUAGUAAAUGUUUUUUUAAGUUUUAGUAUAAAUGAGACACUUACUCAAAAGUGUCCCAAACAUGUGUCCCUAUAACCUAAUUCUGUUGUAGUGUCUUUAAUUAAAUUAAAUAAACAGAUUAUCUAAAAUAAUUAAAAGUUAUGAAGGUACUAAAUAAAAAAAUAAAAAUAAAUUUAGAGUUGAGAGAGCACUAUUA
RNAcentral lists this long non-coding RNA (870 nucleotides) under Ananas comosus (pineapple). Its description in RNAcentral is "long non-coding RNA (ACOM_LNC025886)". The record is from RNAcentral. Lineage: Eukaryota; Viridiplantae; Streptophyta; Magnoliopsida; Poales; Bromeliaceae.